GCAAAAACGGGGCAGGGGCGGCGGGUAGCGGUGGCUUGUUUCAUCCCUCUUCUGACAGGCAGGCGGUGCCAGGCGGGUCCUCGCUCGGGAGCUGCGUCGUGGAUGAGUGGCUGCUCCUCCCCGUUCACCGACAGGAUCCUCUUUUCCGGCGGCUGCUCCUCAGGCUGGCGGGCAAUCAGCAGACGACAGGUGAAAGCAAGCUGACUUCUGGCAUCCUUUGCUCCCUGUUUGUGCUGGAUUUAGAAGCUGUAUACGUUGCAAGAUUCAGCUGCCUUAUUGUCUCAGGGAAGAAACGACCUCUCUCCUUACACACAUUCAGGUUCUUGCAUUUGAACGUUAGGUGCUUGUGGGCGUACCGGCUUUGGUUUUUUCUUUUUUCAAUCAAGUAUUUCCUCUUUUUUUAAUAUAUUAUAAUAAAGCUCCUAGUUAUCGGAGACACCAAAGUUAUUUCCACUUACACUUGAAUAUACUACCCCUGCAGAUGGUUUUGCCAUUGUGUUCUCUGCUUUCUGAUCAAGGAGAGGGAAAUGGAAGCCAAAUCUCAGGUAUGGAGUUGGUCAGCUCUCACAGGCGCUGAUCAGAUUGUAGAUUUAUUUCCGUGUGAUUUUUAAAAACCUGCACUACAGGCACACAGAACUUCCCCACUUCUCUGUAACUUUUGCUUCUAAAAAGAGUGGAGACUUCACAUGUGGAAAAUACACAACUUUGUCAUUUUUGCUACUAAAUAACUGACAAUCUCAUGACACAUUUACUCUAAGGGUAUGCAUUGUAAGGAUGCAUUAUAAACCUUCAGUGAAUAAAACCUCUCCUCAGAGCAGAGUAUUUUGAAACAGUUGUGAAAAACACAGCCUUAUAAAUGUACUAUCAGCAUGUCCUAGAGUACUCUGGUAUUUUAAGUAUUUUAAUAGACAAACUAGCGCAUCUGUUCUUUGCUGAAUGAAAAACCGCAAGUUUGGUGUUGUAGGUAUAUAACAAAGGUUCUCUAUUUGCUUGGGGGCUUAUUGAUUGGCAAGAUCAGGUUUUCAUUAACUGUCUCCACGAUGUGACAGACCACCCUGGUACGCAGCCCAGCAAAAGCAGGAAAGCCUAACGAGCCGUGAACAUGUUACAAUAUGGGCUAUUAAGAAUAACGGCGCUGUGUAAUAUCCGAGCGCCUCUGCUUUCUUUUUAUAAAAACGGAGAUCAUUCCUACCUGUGGGCCUGACUUUUGGUACAGCAGAAAGGGACAGGGAAGCGAAAUAUUUUACCGAGCAAGGAUUUUUGCAAUGCUUCUAAAGUCUCGGUGCUUUUUUUCUGUCCCUCAUGUAGCAGAAGCUUAAGAGCUUCGUUUUGUGGCCACUGUGUCUCAGUCUUUUGCUCCUGAGUUACUUCUUGGUGAUUUUUUUUCUGCGAGAUCCCUGCGCUGGGCGCUGCAAUUCAGAUGUUACUUGAGAGCUAAGGAAAAAGCAGCUGGGCAGGUGGAGCAAAGGCAGAGAACAGAAUGUGCUGGAAACUUCCAGCACUAUUUUUUUUUUUUUAAUUUUUUUUUUUUUUUUUAAGGGGCACAAAAAUUAUACCAACGCUUUUCAGCCACUGCAAUAAAUGUAACGGGGAGGAGGGGAGGGUGGCAGGAGAAGAAACAAACACAGACAAGGAAGCAAAAGGUGGCAGCCGGUCCCUCGCCUGCCUGCAGCUCGCAGCCGGCAAAGCUCCGCAGCAGGGUUGGCCCUGGGCAGAGAGGAGCAUAAAUGGCUCACCAGCCGAGAAAUGCCCACCGUGACUUCUCCUUCCACUCCUCACCCCUUUCCCGUUAGGCAAGAGGAGGAGAGGCCCAUUUCCCAGGCGAAAGAGAAUAAUAAGGUGGCUAUUAAUAAUACCUUCUUCCACCAGCUAGGAAUCUCAAAGCAUGUCCCGGUCACGAAUUAAUCCCCGCAGAAGUCUGGCGAGGUGGGGACAGUCAGUGUUGUUAUCCUUGCUUUAAAGCACAGAAUUUUGAGGAGGAUCAUCUGGCUGCCAAAGCGGGCAUCUGCUUUUCCUACCCCUGGUCCAGGGGGGCAGGUAUUCUCCCAGGGAUCAGCUGUACCUGCCUGCUACGUGUCUGGCACUUCUUCAGACCUUGCUUUUCAGAGCCCUCUUGUGUCCCCAUCUUUUUGCAAGCAUGGCUGUGCUGUGCUACCCUAUCCCCCUCUCCUCCCCUCCCCAUCCUUAUCCACAGGAGGAUAUCCUCCAUGGAUAGGCACAGAUGGAGCCCUGCUAGGAUAUCCUCGGCACUGCGUAUUAUUUGUUUCUCUCCGCGUCCAUCAAAUAAGGAGACAGAUAAGCUGCUUCCCUCUCCCUCCCCAUCGCUCUGGGGGCUCCAGCGCGGUCACCCUCCGUGUACCCCGCUGCCAACACGGCUUCUGCCGCAAGGUUGUGGGGAGAGAGCCCUAAUGCGUCUCCCUCCAUCCUGCCACCGCUGU
Chroicocephalus ridibundus (black-headed gull) is the source of this 2438-nucleotide long non-coding RNA. RefSeq lists it as uncharacterized. The transcript has 3 exons. Lineage: Eukaryota; Metazoa; Chordata; Aves; Charadriiformes; Laridae. The record is from RefSeq and is a predicted model, not a curated record.